RNAcentral lists this unclassified non-coding RNA (165 nucleotides) under uncultured fungus. RNAcentral describes it as "sequence contains ITS1". The record is from RNAcentral. Lineage: Eukaryota; Fungi.
UUAUUUGAAUAGGGUUUAACACUAAUUUGUCCUUUAUAUUUGGUGGGAAACCUCUUUCAAAUAUUUUUAAAUUUUACUUCCUUUUGAAAAAAAGGAGCAAGAUGAACAUAUAUUUAAAACCCAACUCUUAAAAUGUAUAUAAUUUUUAAAUGAUAAAAUAAAAGA